Non-coding RNA from Gossypium hirsutum (cotton), 107 nucleotides. NCBI's taxonomy places the organism in Eukaryota, Viridiplantae, Streptophyta, Magnoliopsida, Malvales, Malvaceae. The record is from Rfam.
AAUCCAUGCAUUGGACAUUUUCGAAUUGAAUCUUUGAAUCAUUCCCAAGCUUUAUAUAGUGUUUCAUCCUCUAAUUUCUGAAAAGAUGUGAUAUCAUUUCUAAGCUU